GUUAGUUCAGCCUGAACAAAACCAUGCCUUAAAAAAAGUUAUAAAAACUGAUAGAAAAAUUAUAAUAAAUUUAGAUCAUAAAAUAAGUUCCUUGGAAAAAUCUUGUCAAUAUGGAAAUAAAGUUGUAACAAUACUUAACAUAAAAGCUGAAGGAUUAAAUAAUAUGGCCAUAAAAGAAAAAUUAAAAUUAAUAAUUGAUACACUCAUGGAUAAUUUCUCCACGUAUUGUGACGACAACACCAGAAAUGACGACACCAGAAAUGACGUCAUCAUAAGUGACGACAAAAAUGACGACAAAAAUGAUGACACCAGAAAUAACAACAAAUGUAGUAACAAUGGUAACUGCCAUAGUAAAAAUAACAAUGAGUUGAAUACCACUACAAAUAAAAAAAGAAUCAUUAAUUUUUCCAGCAUAUCACAAUACUUUGACUUAAAGUGCUUACCAUAUUGUACGUUAAACUAUGAUACUAUUCCCAUGCAUUUUUUUAUUAAUAAUAAUAAAAAUUUAUUAAUUGAGUCAUGUACCUCUAAUAAAAAAAAAAAUGCAAGUAGUAAAACAAAAAGAUUUAAUAACAUUUAUAAAAAGUUAAAAGAUUAUAAUUAUGAUGAAGAACCCGAAAUAAAAUUAGAAUCAUAUGAACAAUCCAUGAAAUUAAAAGAUAAAUUGUCAGAACUCGAACAAAACCAAGAAAAAAAAAACAUAAAGUUUUUUCCGUUUAUAGUAGACACAGAACCAACAAACGGAUUUAACGAAACCACGUUCAGAUUAUUUUUAAUCUCUCUAUUAGUUUCUAAAGGUUAUGUUGAAUUUUUUAAGGAUGAUGAUAAUGUUUUAUGCAUCAAAUCAUCCGAUCAUUAUAAAGAUAAUGAAAUAACCCAACAAGAACAAGAGCAGGAACAAGAACAAGAACAGGAACACGAACAAGAACAAGAACACGAACAAGAACACGAAACUGAUAGAAAUGUAAAACGAAAAAACCAAGCCUUACUCACCUCUUGGUCCUAUAAAAAAUGGAAAAAAUUAGUUAAACAGAUAACAAAUGAGUCAUAAAAAGAUAAAAAAAAUAAAAAAAAAUAAAAAAAAAAUGAACA
Molecule: long non-coding RNA, 1092 nt
Filed under: Piliocolobus tephrosceles (Ugandan red Colobus)
Lineage: Eukaryota; Metazoa; Chordata; Mammalia; Primates; Cercopithecidae
Description: lncRNA (ENSPTEG00000003753.1)
Source: RNAcentral